GCUACCACGCGAGUGGAUGCCAAUCCCUAAAACCCCUCUCAGUUCGGACUGGAGUCUGCAACCCGACUCCACGAAGCUGGAUUCGCUAGUAAUCGCGCAUCAGCCACGGCGCGGUGAAUACGUUCCCGGGCCUUGUACACACCGCCCGUCAAGCCAUGGGAGCCGGGGUACCUGAAGUGCGUAACCGCGAGGAUCGCCCUAGGGUAAAACUGGUGACUGGGGCUAAGUCGUAACAAGGUACC
This 242-nucleotide ribosomal RNA is filed under the name uncultured bacterium. RNAcentral describes it as "partial 16S ribosomal RNA". It matches the Rfam family "Bacterial small subunit ribosomal RNA", at positions 1249 to 1500 of the family's 1533-position model. The record is from RNAcentral.